RNAcentral lists this long non-coding RNA (742 nucleotides) under Oncorhynchus kisutch (coho salmon). RNAcentral describes it as "lncRNA (ENSOKIG00005025278.1)". Lineage: Eukaryota; Metazoa; Chordata; Actinopteri; Salmoniformes; Salmonidae. The record is from RNAcentral.
AUGCCUGGGUGCUUUUCAAGACUGGCGGAGAGAGUGCGUGGACGUCGGCGGCCUACUGCGUCGACAGGUUGUUCAAAUUCAUUUGUGGCUUGUUUUUCUUGUCUUUUUCUGUUUUGCAGGGUUCGUGAUCGUCGACAGGUGGACAGCGACUUCGAAGAGGAAACAACUGUCCUGGAUGAGGUCCAGUUGGAUGUGCCAUUGGAUGAUGUGCUAGAUGUUCCACAGCUGCCAGUCCUCCUUGAUGUCCAGAAUGCUGCUAUGAUCCUUGAGGAUGUGCCAGAUGUGCAGACUAUCCUUGAGGUACAAUUUUCUGAAAAUGCCACUGGCAUUUGGCAGUUGAUUCCGAUUAGGUUCAGCCCCCAGUACUGUGGGCCUGUUGUGAUCAGGGUAAGAGACCCCCCCCCCCCCCCCCCCCCCCCCCCACACACACACACACAGUCACAUCACUGUUACAAUGUUUACUGUUUCCAACAUGAAUGUAUUGUAAUGUGCAGAACAAUGCCGGUCCGGUGGUUAAAGCUUGGAGAACAUUCCAGUUCAUCGGCCCCAUCAUCACCUACAUGCGUGGGGGAUCCCAGGUAUGUGUCUUUGUAACAACCUAAUCAUAAUCUAUAUUGUCAGUCAUUUGAUCUUGAUGGAAAUGUGUCACAGCAAUUGCCGAAGUGGUUUUGUUGAUGUUGUCUUGUUGUUUAUCUCAACAGCAGGUGGUGGUGAGGAUGCACCACGUGAGUAGGGUGAAAGG